This 305-nucleotide unclassified non-coding RNA is filed under the name Hevea brasiliensis (rubber tree). The record is from RNAcentral. Lineage: Eukaryota; Viridiplantae; Streptophyta; Magnoliopsida; Malpighiales; Euphorbiaceae.
UAAGAUUCAGUCACAAUUUAGGUACGUUGUGAUUCACCCCAUAGAUUCAAAUUGGUAGGAGGAAGAAUCGAAUCGCAUGACUUUAAUAGAGAAUCAUAAGAUUCUAAUAACAGUGGCAACAGCAUUUGGAGUCUAUCUCUAUUUGCAAAUUUGAUCACUUAGUGAAUAGCCUGAUUUGCAUAUCGUCCAUAUAUUAUGUAUUUGUAUUUGCAGAUGUACAGGAAAUAUUUCCCUUCUAUAGAUUUGGUUAUUUCUUUUUGGUUUUUGGUGGGGGAGAAGGGAUAGAAGGAUUCCCAAACUGAGUA